AGUCUCAUUCUAGAUUACAAUGGGCACUGUCAAUUGGUGUCCAAAAUAUGUGGCUAAAACUGAGACACAAGUCAUGCUUCCAUCACAGUAAAUGUUACCAUGGUGACAAUGAGACUUGUAACAUUU
Cavia aperea (Brazilian guinea pig) is the source of this 126-nucleotide small nucleolar RNA. The record is from Ensembl. NCBI's taxonomy places the organism in Eukaryota, Metazoa, Chordata, Mammalia, Rodentia, Caviidae.